Long non-coding RNA from Xenopus laevis (African clawed frog), 903 nucleotides. RefSeq lists it as uncharacterized. Lineage: Eukaryota; Metazoa; Chordata; Amphibia; Anura; Pipidae. The record is from RefSeq and is a predicted model, not a curated record. The transcript has 3 exons.
UCCUGUUCUGAAGGGGGGGAAGUCCUGAAUGGCCCGAGUCCACCUCCGCAUUGCAGAGUCACCAGGUGGCUUCUUUACACCACUGCUCAGUGCCCUGCUAGUGACUCGCAAACACCUAUAAUCUUCUAGCUCAGCCCAGGAUACAAACAGUGCGCGGGAAAACCAGGGCUACACUCCUCAUUAUAUAUAAUGUACCCCAAUGUGUGCUGCCUGGCCCCACUCCUGCUGGGGACUUGUGCCUUUUGCCUCCUGCCUACCCCGUCACAUGACGCUUGGAGGUAGGGGUAACAGAUGCUGCUUAGCUCAGGCUUUUACCAACUGCACAGCGAGGCCCCCGUUCCGGCAGAUUCUACCGGGGACUGUCCCCCUUCACCGCGGACACAAGCCAAGUAACUCCCUAAAGCAACAGCAACGGCCAGGAUGGAGGGUGAGCAAUAAGCGCUACGGGAACAAGCUAUGUGGGUACUACAGGUGCCGAGGUCAGCGUCAUGGAACACAAGUCUGCUUUUGUUGAAUUAAUGUGAUAUCAAAAGUAAGCAAGCUGCAUGGGAAUGGUGCAUAAACAUACUAUUUCAAAUAAUUGAAGACAUUUCCUUGAAACAAAUAAAAAUGGGAGCACAAAUAAUUAUCUGAAAAUGAUGUAAUACUCUCUUUGGCUGCUUUUUGACAAAUCUGGACAGUUCUGAUUAUAGCCUUAAGGUUCUGACUUUUCUGUCAAAAUCUGACACAUUGAUAAUACAUUUCCUUAAGCACUAAAAUGACUGCUGAUGAAAGCUUUGUUCUGUGAGUAAUAUUAGUGUACCCAAAGGAUUACGCUUGGCAUUGUGUUUGCUAAAAUAUGAAAAUAGUGACUCUGGUAUUUGUAUUGAACAAGAUAUAGCUAAAUAAAAUACAUACAUCAAA